RNAcentral lists this ribosomal RNA (253 nucleotides) under uncultured bacterium. Its description in RNAcentral is "partial 16S ribosomal RNA". It matches the Rfam family "Bacterial small subunit ribosomal RNA", at positions 524 to 776 of the family's 1533-position model. The record is from RNAcentral.
CACGUAGGGCGCGAGCGUUGUCCGGAAUUAUUGGGCGUAAAGAGCUCGUAGGCGGCCUGUUGCGUCCGCUGUGAAAGCCCGGGGCUUAACCCCGGGUCGGCAGUGGAUACGGGCAGGCUAGAGGUAGGUAGGGGAGAAUGGAAUUCCCGGUGUAGCGGUGAAAUGCGCAGAUAUCAGGAAGAACACCCGUGGCUAAGGCGGCUCUCUAGUACGGUACUGACGCUGAGACGCGAAAGCGUGGGGAGCGAACAGG